This 341-nucleotide ribosomal RNA is filed under the name Ambigolimax valentianus. RNAcentral describes it as "eukaryotic LSU rRNA". It matches the Rfam family "Eukaryotic large subunit ribosomal RNA", at positions 1 to 333 of the family's 3401-position model. The record is from RNAcentral. Lineage: Eukaryota; Metazoa; Mollusca; Gastropoda; Stylommatophora; Limacidae.
UCCGACCUCAGAUCGGACGAGAUUACCCGCUGAAUUUAAGCAUAUAACUAAGCGGAGGAAAAGAAACUAACAAGGAUUUCCCCAGUAACGGCGAGUGAAGCGGGAAGAGCCCAGCACCGAAUCCCUCAGUGUCACGCUGACGGGAACUGUGGUGUGUGGGACGCCACCAGUCGCAUCAGAGGGCGCCGAAGUCCUCCUGAUCGGGGCUUCACCCAGAGCGGGUGUAAGGCCUUUGCAGGUGCCUCUCUGUGCGGCCGCGAGCGUCUCACGAGUCGGGUUGUUUGGGAAUGCAGCCCAAAGCGGGUGGUAAACUCCAUCUAACGCUAAAUACUUGCACGAGU